Prinia subflava (tawny-flanked prinia) is the source of this 6086-nucleotide RNA transcript. It is a transcript of the gene named nucleotide binding oligomerization domain containing 1, with no coding region annotated. The record is from RefSeq and is a predicted model, not a curated record. Lineage: Eukaryota; Metazoa; Chordata; Aves; Passeriformes; Cisticolidae. The transcript has 14 exons.
CCGGGGAAGGGCCGGGGCGCCGGCGGGCUGCCGAGGGAGAGGGCUGGCGGCUGCGAGCUCGAAUGUCUGCUAGAUGUACCAGUGUGGCUUCCAGGAAGCUGAGUGACUCAGAAGUCAGCCACUUCCUCGGGUGGGUCAUCUGCAUGGAGUAAUGAAAGGUUGAUUUGUCUGAGUAGAUGCAGUCACUUACUGGUGUGGCUCAGUGAUAUGAAGGACAGAUUUCUUGUUUGCCUGAAGUUAAAUCCAAGCUGACCUGUCACUACAAAUGGACAGUUUUUCAAACAUGAGGCUUGGUGGAGCAGCUUCUUGGUAUCUCAACUAUGGCAGGCCAACUUUGUGCUAAUGUGGACAUUUCUGUGAAAAAACCUCCAGGAGCAAGCCCUCAGUCCUUCAUUGCUUUGCUGAAGGUUCACCGAGAGCUUCUGGUGGGUAGGAUCAGGAACACGCAGUGUUUGAUUGAUAACUUGAUUAAGAACGACUACUUCUCCACUGAAGAUGCAGAGAUCGUUGUCCAGUUUCCUACUCAAGCAGAUAAGGUUCGCAAAAUUCUAGACUUGGUUCAAAGCAAGGGAGAAGAAGUUUCGGAGUAUUUCGUUUAUGUCCUGCAGAAAGUCACUGAUGCUUACUACGAACUUCAGCCUUGGCUGGAUGAAAUAGGCUAUGAGCCUUCAGAGAAUAUUUGUAGUAAACCUGUGGUAAAUACAGAUCCAGUUAGCAGGUAUUGCCAGAAACUCAGACAUGAACUGGGACGGGACUCCAAGUUUGUUAUGUUGUACGCUCAGAAGGAGGAGAUGCUGCUUGAAGAAAUCUACUCCAACAGUAUUAUGGAGCUGGUCAGUUUUACCAAUGAGAGUCUUGGCCAGGUGGAUCAAUUAGAAGCCCUUUUUGAUGAUGCAGUUGGGCUAAUUAAUGAAGAUGGAGAGACUGUUUAUGUCUAUGGUGACGCAGGAAUUGGAAAAUCCAUCUUGCUGCAAAAGAUACAAAGCCUUUGGGCCAGAAAAGAAUUGGACAUAGGGGCCAAGUUUUUCUUCCGUUUUCGGUGUAGGAUGUUUAGCUGCUUCAAGGAAGAUGAAGCCAUAUGUUUGAAAGACCUGCUCUUCAAAUAUAAUUGCUACCCAGACCAGGACCCCACAGAAGUGUUCCAUCACAUCUUGCAGUUCCCUCACACAGUUCUUUUCACUUUUGAUGGCUUUGAUGAGAUCUAUUCCAACUUUGAUCUCAGCAGCGUACCGGAGAUAUGCUCACCCAAUGAACCCAUCCACCCCCUGGCACUGCUCGUAAGCCUUCUCAGAGGAAAGCUUCUUAAGGGAUCCAAGAAAGUUCUUACCGCCAGGACAGGAACUGAGAUCCAAAAAAACAUCAUUAGGAAGAAAGUGUUGCUCCGCGGUUUCUCCAGGAAUAACCUGAAGGAAUACACAGCUCUGUUUUUCAAAGAUGAGCGGCGUCGAGGACUGGUAUCAAACCAGUUGGAAGCUAACCCAAAUCUCUGCAGUUUAUGUUCAGUGCCUUUAUUUUGCUGGAUUAUCUUCAAAUGCUUUGAGCACUUCCACUCCAUGUUUGACAGCCACGAGCUUCCAGACAGUUCUGUUACAUUAACAGAUGUAUUUUUGCUCAUGAUUGAAGUCCACCUGAACCGAUCUGUGAAAACAAGUUUGCUGAAGAGCAAUAUCAGGAGCCAAGCAGAGAUGUUCAAAUCAAGAAAGGAAAGUCUUCUAGCUUUGGGUAAAAUGGCAUACAAAGGGAUGGAGAGCUCUUCCUUUAUCUUUGAGCAGGAUGAAGUCUCAUCGGCAAACAUCUCUGAAGAAGAUUUGCAAUUGGGCUUUCUCAGGACAGUUAAAGGUUACAGUGGCUGUGACAGUCAGGCCACGUAUGAGUUCUUGCACUUAACCCUUCAGUCUUUUUUCACGGCUUUGUUCUUGGUUAUGGAGGAGAAGGUGGGUCCCGAGGAGUUACUCGAGUUUUUCAAUGAAUGUUCUUCCAUGGAGACUGCCCAGCCUACUUGCCUUCGUAUCCCCUGGUUGAAGAAACAGCUAGCAGGGGAGGAUCCUUUCCAAAAUACAGAACAUUUUAAUUUUACCAACGUGUUUCUUUGUGGCCUACUUUCUGGAUCCAAGGAGAAGCUCUUCAGACAUUUAGUUUCACCUGCGGUCAUUAAGAGGAAGAGAAAAACGCUCAUCACAUACCUAGGGAGGAGCAUGAAAUCCCACCUGAAAGGCUUCACUCGGUCCAGGCUUAAAAGCUACAAUCAGGUGCAGGUGCAGCCCAACUUUGUGUGGAUGCUGAGGUGCCUGUACGAGACGCAGAGUGAGAAGGUGGGCAGGAUGGCAGCCCGCCGCAUGCACGCCAACUACAUCAAGCUGGCCUACUGCAACGCCUGCUCCGCCGACUGCAGCGCCAUUUCCUUUGUCGUGCACCACUUCCAGAAGCGCCUGGCUCUGGAUUUGGACAACAACAACAUCCAUGACUAUGGAAUAAAACAGCUGCAACCUUGUUUCAGCAAGCUUGCAGUGAUCAGGCUCAGUGUAAAUCAGGUCACAGAUCACGGCGUGAAGAUCUUGUAUGAGGAACUCUCCAAGUACCAAAUUGUGUCUUUCUUGGGCUUAUACAACAACCAAAUCACUGAUGUUGGAGCCAAAUAUGUUGCAAAACUAAUUGAAGAGUGUUCAAGCCUGGAAUAUGUUAAAAUAGGAGCAAACAAAAUAACGAGCGAAGGAGGGAAGUGCCUUGCCCAGGCCAUCCAGAAGAGCAAGACAAUGUUUGAAAUUGGGAUGUGGGGUAAUCAAGUUGGAGACGAAGGAGCAAAGGCAUUUGCAGAGGCCCUGAGGAACCACCCCAGGUUAACAAACGUCAGUCUUGCAUUCAAUGGCAUCACGACAGAGGGAGGCAAAAGCAUUGCUGAAGCCAUGCAACACAACAACUCCGUGAGGAUAUUCUGGUUGACUAAAAACGAGCUGGAUGAUGAGGCAGCAAUGAGUUUUGCAGAGAUGCUGAAGGUCAACAAGAAACUGGUGCAUUUAUGGCUUAUCCAGAAUCAAAUUACAGCCAAAGGGGUGAAGUGCCUCAGCGAAGCUCUCAAGGAGAACACAACUAUUCAAGAGAUCUGGACCUAAAUGCCAAACAAGCUGGGCGGUGCUCCAAACAUACUGGAAGUGCUAAGCUACAAGGAGAUUAACUUUUCGUAGGAUUGUUUUAGAUUAGCUUGAACGGGAACCCGAUAAGCCAAGAAGAGGCUAAAGCUUUUGAAAAUGAAGAGCGGAUCAUUUGCUUUUGAAUGAGGACUUUUCCUUUUUGCCAAGUUGGUGUUAACAAAGGUUACUCCUACACUUGGACUGCAGAGUUUAUAAAGGCAUAAAUCUACAGUGCUCGUGGCAGGAGAGAGAUACACAAUAAGCUGCCUUUUUAUGAACACACUGCAUUCCCUCAGCUCCAUCCCUUCCCCUGUCUGUUAUUCUUAAUCCUUUUGGUGAGUGGGAAGUUGCCUGGGUAAAUAAUUAAUGUUUGUUCGGUGCUUUGAAGAUGAAAUGCAAAGUGUUAACAGACUAAAUCCACUGGCAGGUGUAUGCAUUUUGAUAACUGAGUUUAGAUCUAUUCUGUACAGUGAUGUAAAUAAUCUCUUAACUUAUUUAUAUACGUAAAUAAAGACACACAAGUAUACAUAUGCAAGAAAGGGUGCAAGAUGUACAAAUUCCACCAGCUGUGAGUAUUACCUGCCUCAGGACUGAAAAUGAAUAUAUACACAGCUUUACCAGAAAUGGUAUCUAUAGUAGUUGCUUGGUGUCAGUGUUUUGAACAUGAAUUCCUUCUUACUGCCUAGAAAUUAGGUCCCUAUUUCUCCACUGACUACAGGCAGCAUUGUAGACACUGCUUUUUUGUUGUUGUUGUGUUUUUUUGGAUAGGUAGAAAUGGAUGCAUUGAGCUCAGAUUACUUUCAGUAAUCUUUUUUUCCCAUAUCAAAGCAAAUCCAUUUUCUUUCACCCAACCAGAAGUCCUUACUGCCAUCACUGUAAAACUGUAACACAAGCAGGGAACCACUUCUGCUUCACACUUCCAGAGGGUUGUGUAGAAACGGCUGUGUCCUGUUUCCACCGUGUUUGUUCUGGGGAGGGGGUCUGGAGAGAAAUGUGAACAAUUAAUUAGCAGGCUGUUCAUUGCCUUGGCUCCUGGCCUAGCACUGUGCUGGUGGCACUACACCAAUAUCAUGUUGCCCAGCAUCAGUGGGCAGAAAGGGCGAUUGAAAAUCAACUGCGUCAAGUAGAAAUCCUUUCUCCCGGCAACAGGCAAGCACACAGGAAGAUUGAGAUUGGCUUGGAAAGCUUUCAGUCUAUGCUUGAAUCAGUGGACAGAGCAAGGCAAGGGGCAGUAGUAAUAAUAAGGACCAGCAAGAAAACAUUAUCCUCCCCCAAAUGAUUACUGUUUAGGGAGUGUAACCUUAGAGGCUUUAAAAGAAACCAGUUAGCAAAGGAGUGGGGUAUUUGAUUAUUUUUUGUGGGAGCUUUAUAAACUCAGACUCUACCCCACAGUGUAGAGGCAGAGUUGAGUUUAUAAACCUAAAAUGGAAAGGUGUGAGCCAUUUUCGUUCCUUCUCCCAUGUUGCCAUCCCCACUCCCCAAACUCUGCGAAACAAUUCUCCAGUUGCUGACUAACCCACAAAACCUUGGUAGGCUGGAAGAAGAAUCUCCGGUUAAAAUGCCAACCAAUGAACCCUCACCUCCCCAUCUCUCAGAUCUGGCCCAUGAAGCAAAGAAAAUGCUUGCUUUGCAGGUCAGAGCUUCUCCAUUUCCUAUGUGGUAGCAAAACUUUCCCAGUCUUCAGUUCUGUUUACUCCCUUCAGCUCCCUAACACAUUUUAAAAUACUCUUAGGGCUUCUCACAAAACCUGCAGUGACAAAGGAAAAAAAGGGAAGAAAACCAACUUAGUUAUUUUUCAGUGGCUUUUCCUCUGUGCCUGUGGUAUCAACACUGAUUUUUCACAGGGAGACAGAUGAGGUUUUUCAACCAUGCCAGAGGGAACUCAGCUAACUUGAAUGAUUUCUGCACCUGAGCCAUUUGUUUACUGAAGCAAAAGGGCACACAAUUACAGAUGAGCUGGAUUUCAAUUGCCAAAACAUCUGCCAAAGCAAAUCCUUUAAAGACUUCUCAGUGACUUUAACAAAUCAGAGACUCAUGCACCUUGUCAAAGUGUGUUUUGCCAGCCUACUCUGAUGGAAGGGAGAAGAUACCAGUGUAAGGAAGGACUUUCACCAGAGGUGUAGUUUGCCUGGGUUUGAGGAAGUGUGGUCCUAUGUUGCUCUAAUCACAGAAUUAUUUGUUCAUUUACCAGGUAGAAAAUAUACUUAAAACUACAGUUCCUGUCCUUAUUUCACUCACUGACUAAAAUAGCUCCCCCCAAGCUUUCCAGUGCAGUCACAUCUGCCCCUUUUUUUGGGCUAGAGCAGCCUUUGGCAUUGUUUGUAGUGGCAAGCUCAGCCCUGUUGCAAAUCCUGUUCCAUACCUGGCUGUUAGAAGCGGGGCAUCCAGGCAGUGUUUUCAGGGGCAGCAGCAUUUACAGGGCUGCAGCAGCUAAGUGCAGCCUCAGGGUAGGCAGGAUCAAGCCCAGCUCCAUAUAGGACAGAGUUGGGCACUGAACAAGAUUACAGUGCCGGAGACAGAGCCAGUCACAGCCACUCCUUCCGGAGGUGAUUUUGGGCAGCAAACACUUGUUUGGACUGGGUUGAAGGUCUGAGCACAGCUCACUCUGGGUUUGACAAAAUCAAGUGGUUUCAUAGCAUCCUGCUCCCAGCUCACCCAGAGCAGGGGCUCAGCUCCCACAGCUCUGGGAGUCAUGCUGGGCAAACUGGUUGCUGCUCUGGGAGCAGCCAGACAUCCCUUGUUUAUCUGCACAGUGUUUCUGGCUGAAGCUCUUCCAGUCAUACCAGCCCCUUUGUAAGGGGCAUUGGAGCAACACUUCUGCAGCUUGCAGCGAGAGCCUUGUUUACUCAGAGACAACUGUAACUUUUUAAAGACUUGUUUGUAAUUUGCUGAAGCCUUCUCUGUACACUGCGUCAUGUUUUUCCACUCGUCCACUGUGAUAAUAAACAGCUUUUUAAA